UACGUAGGGGGCUAGCGUUGUCCGGAUUUAUUGGGCGUAAAGAGCGUGUAGGCGGCCAGGUAGGUCCGCUGUGAAAGUCCGAGGCUCAACCUCGGAAUGUCGGCGGAAACCCUCUGGCUAGAGUCCGGAAGAGGAGAGUGGAAUUCCCGGUGUAGCGGUGAAAUGCGCAGAUAUCGGGAAGAACACCCGUGGCGAAGGCGGCUCUCUGGACAGUUCCUGACGCUGAGGCACGAAGGUCAGGGGAGCAAACGGG
This 253-nucleotide ribosomal RNA is filed under the name uncultured bacterium. RNAcentral's name for it is "partial 16S ribosomal RNA". It matches the Rfam family "Bacterial small subunit ribosomal RNA", at positions 524 to 776 of the family's 1533-position model. The record is from RNAcentral.